Molecule: ribosomal RNA, 174 nt
Filed under: uncultured bacterium
Lineage: Bacteria
Description: partial 16S ribosomal RNA
Rfam family: Bacterial small subunit ribosomal RNA
Source: RNAcentral
UGGAAUCGCUAGUAAUCGCGGAUCAGAAUGCCGCGGUGAAUACGUUCCCGGGUCUUGUACACACCGCCCGUCACACCAUGGGAGUCGGAAAUGCCCGAAGUCUGUGACCCAACCUUAGGGAGGGAGCAGCCGAAGGCAGGUCGGAUGACUGGGGUGAAGUCGUAACAAGGUAUC